Molecule: long non-coding RNA, 872 nt
Organism: Panthera uncia (snow leopard)
Lineage: Eukaryota; Metazoa; Chordata; Mammalia; Carnivora; Felidae
Exons: 2
Source: RefSeq, a predicted model, not a curated record
AAUGCUCUUCAAGUGUCAAAGUUCAAUAUAAAUGACAUCAUAAUGAAUACUGAUAGUCCACACCCGGAGCUGGGCACUCUUCUAAGAGCCUUUGAUGUAACAAUCAACUUAAUCUUCCCAGACACCUACAGGGAAGGUCUGCGAUCAUCCCCACUCUAAACAUGAGGGAACUGAGGCAGGAGGAGGUUCAACAGCAUCUCAAGGUCACACCAGCAGAUACAGAACCGUCCUCUUCCGUGAUCCAAACCCACGCCCCAAAACCACCACUGACCAGCAAACACCACUCUUUAGAAGACCACCCCCGUUGUCGCGAUCGGAACACUCGUGUAACCCUUUCCACUAGUCUGAGAGGGUGGAAAGCUGACCGGCACUUUUGCGCAUGCAAAAACGAGUGGCCCCCAGCCCCCAGCGACAUUUCCUGGAAUUCACCAUCGGCUGAAGGUGAACUUCCGAAGCUUUGGGUUCGUGAGCCUUCCUUGCUGCUGAAAGGGGAAACCUUCCAGAACGGAGAAGAUGAGUGUUGACAUUGAUGGGACAAAAUCGUAUCGUGAGGAUAAGGAACAGCCACAGCUUUCCAUGCUUGUGAGGGUUAAUUUUAGGAGUGGGCAAAAGGAUUCCAGCUUAUGGGAAUUUACAACAAACAAUGGUGUGUAGCUGGGUGGCAAAUGGAAAACUGGGAUGCAGGCCAGCCAUCGGCACUUUUCUGUCCAUGUGAGGAUCUCGUGAGACCUUUCUCCCGGACCAUGAUCAGACCCUACACUGCAGCCAGUCGACUGAGUAAUUAAAUAACACAAGUUAUAAAACUUUAAAAAGGGGGCAUUUACAGUCAGGGACAUAAAUACGUGCUUUUAAAAGUGUCUACGUACAUAUUU